RNAcentral lists this ribosomal RNA (742 nucleotides) under uncultured bacterium. Its description in RNAcentral is "bacterial SSU rRNA". It matches the Rfam family "Bacterial small subunit ribosomal RNA", at positions 8 to 796 of the family's 1533-position model. The record is from RNAcentral.
AGAGUUUGAUCCUGGCUCAGGAUUAACGCUGGCGGUGUGUCUAAUACAUGCAAGUCGCGCGAGGGUUCGACCCGAGCGGCGGACGAGCGAGUAACACGUUGGAACCUACCCCGAACUCAGGGAUAACACCUAGAAAUAGGUGCUAAUACCGGAUAGUCUCGAAAGAGUAAAGCUACGGCGGUUUGGGAGGGGCCUGCGGCCUAUCAGUUAGUUGGCGAGGUAACGGCUCACCAAGACUAUGACGGGUAACUGGUCUGAGAGGACGACCAGUCGCGAUGGGACUGAGAUACGGCCCAUACUCYUACGGGAGGCAGCAGUAAGGAAUCUUCCGCAAUGGACGAAAGUCUGACGGAGCAACACCGCGUGAUUGAUGAAGCCCUUCGGGGUGUAAAGAUCUUUUCUGAGAGAAGAAUUAUGACGGUAUCUUAGGAAUAAGCACCGGCUAACUCUGUGCCAGCAGCCGCGGUAAUACAGAGGGUGCAAGCGUUAUCCGGAAUCAUUGGGCGUAAAGGGUUCGUAGGUGGAAUGUUAAGUUGGGUGUUAAAUUUUGCAGCUCAACUGCAAAAAUGUGCCCAAAACUGGCAAUCUAGAGUGCUACAGAGGUACGUGGAAUUCUGUAUGUAGGGGUUAAAUCCGUAGAUAUACAGAGGAACACCAAAAGCGAAGGCAGCGUACUGGGUAGCAACUGACACUCAAGAACGAAAGCGUGGGGAGCGAACGGGAUUAGAUACCCUGGUAGUCC